AUUGAACGCUGGCGGCAUGCCUUACACAUGCAAGUCGAACGGUAACAGGUCUUCGGAUGCUGACGAGUGGCGAACGGGUGAGUAAUACAUCGGAACGUGCCCAGACGUGGGGGAUAACGAGGCGAAAGCUUUGCUAAUACCGCAUACGAUCUAAGGAUGAAAGCAGGGGACCGCAAGGCCUUGCGCGUUUGGAGCGGCCGAUGGCAGAUUAGGUAGUUGGUGGGAUAAAAGCUUACCAAGCCGACGAUCUGUAGCUGGUCUGAGAGGACGACCAGCCACACUGGGACUGAGACACGGCCCAGACUCCUACGGGAGGCAGCAGUGGGGAAUUUUGGACAAUGGGCGAAAGCCUGAUCCAGCAAUGCCGUGUGCAGGAUGAAGGCCUUCGGGUUGUAAACUGCUUUUGUACGGAACGAAAAGGCUCUGGCUAAUACCUGGGGCACAUGACGGUACCGUAAGAAUAAGCACCGGCUAACUACGUG
This 482-nucleotide ribosomal RNA is filed under the name uncultured bacterium. RNAcentral describes it as "partial 16S ribosomal RNA". It matches the Rfam family "Bacterial small subunit ribosomal RNA", at positions 30 to 507 of the family's 1533-position model. The record is from RNAcentral.